GUAUUCUGUUCUAUUCCGUUGUUUUUCUGUUGUUUCCUGUUGUUUCUUGUUGUUUUUCUGUUGUUUCCCGUUUUUUCUGUUGUUUUCUGUUGUUUCCUGCUGUUUUCUGUUCUAUUCUGUUGUAUUCUGUUGUAUUUUAAUGUAUUAUGUUCUAUUCCGUUGUUUUUUGUUGUAUUCUGUUGUAUUUUAAUGUAUUAUGUUCUAUUCCGUUGUUUUUUGUUGUAUUCUGUUGUAUUUUAAUGUAUUAUGUUCUAUUCCGUUGUUUUUUGUUGUAUUCUGUUGUAUUUUAAUGUAUUAUGUUCUAUUCCGUUGUUUUUUGUUGUAUUCUGUUGUAUUUUAAUGUAUUCUGUUGUCUAUUCUGUUGUAUUCCAGUGGUGUAUCAGAAUUGGUGUACGUUUAGAAAUAAGGGACGUUUAUGCAUUUUUUUCAUUGACUUGGAAAAAACACAAACGUUUGCUUAAUUAUGGACGAACGGCUUCGAGUUGCCUCGUGCAAUAUCAGAAACCCCUAAAUGACCGACUCUUCCAUGCCUGAGAUGACCCGCCCUGCCCUGCGUCAUGACCUCCCGGCAUACAUUGGCCAAGCAGUGCAGAGGAGAAGGAGGAGGAGGAGAAGAAGGAGGAAGAAGAAGAGGAGGAUGUGAGUUCUAUACAUAAAGGCAGAUCAAUAUAUAGAAGCUUAUGGAGUAGAGGAAAUAUGUCAUUCUAUGUAUUAAAGAGGAUAAGAGGGAGGAGAAGGUUAACUUGUAAAUAUAGGCAGAAGUUUAUGUGCCAAGGAAAAUAUUUAAAUGAUUUGUAUUAUGCAUGUAUUGAAAUGGUAUGAACUUGGAUGUUUGUAUGUAUAUGGCUAUGGGAUUUACUUACAAGGUCUGUGGUGUUUUUUUUACUUAUAAGGUUGUACUCAGGAUUUUACUUAUAAGUUCUGUGGCUGUGGGUACCUCCUACAAAGCCUUUCUACUAUGGCUAUUAAUUAACAAAAACCUCUUUCUUUCAGCUUGUGUACUGGCUCAGAAAGUAGUGAAAGGGUGCAUGUUAUCUAUGAAGGCUAUAUCAAUAAGUAUGGAAGUGUGUUAUGGCUAUUAACAACAAUC
Molecule: long non-coding RNA, 1090 nt
Organism: Eriocheir sinensis (Chinese mitten crab)
Lineage: Eukaryota; Metazoa; Arthropoda; Malacostraca; Decapoda; Varunidae
Exons: 3
Source: RefSeq, a predicted model, not a curated record